GAUGAACGCUGGCGGCGUGCCUAAUACAUGCAAGUCGAGCGAACGGACGAGAAGCUUGCUUCUCUGAUGUUAGCGGCGGACGGGUGAGUAACACGUGGAUAACCUACCUAUAAGACUGGGAUAACUUCGGGAAACCGGAGCUAAUACCGGAUAAUAUUUUGAACCGCGUGGUUCAAAAGUGAAAGACGGUCUUGCUGUCACUUAUAGAUGGAUCCGCGCUGCAUUAGCUAGUUGGUAAGGUAACGGCUUACCAAGGCAACGAUGCAUAGCCGACCUGAGAGGGUGAUCGGCCACACUGGAACUGAGACACGGUCCAGACUCCUACGGGAGGCAGCAGUAGGGAAUCUUCCGCAAUGGGCGAAAGCCUGACGGAGCAACGCCGCGUGAGUGAUGAAGGUCUUCGGAUCGUAAAACUCUGUUAUUAGGGAAGAACAUAUGUGUAAGUAACUGUGCACAUCUUGACGGUACCUAAUCAGAAAGCCACGGCUAACUACGUGCCAGCAGCCGCGGUAAUACGUAGGUGGCAAGCGUUAUCCGGAAUUAUUGGGCGUAAAGCGCGCGUAGGCGGUUUUUUAAGUCUGAUGUGAAAGCCCACGGCUCAACCGUGGAGGGUCAUUGGAAACUGGAAAACUUGAGUGCAGAAGAGGAAAGUGGAAUUCCAUGUGUAGCGGUGAAAUGCGCAGAGAUAUGGAGGAACACCAGUGGCGAAGGCGACUUUCUGGUCUGUAACUGACGCUGAUGUGCGAAAGCGUGGGGAUCAAACAGGAUUAGAUACCCUGGUAGUCCACGCCGUAAACGAUGAGUGCUAAGUGUUAGGGGGUUUCCGCCCCUUAGUGCUGCAGCUAACGCAUUAAGCACUCCGCCUGGGGAGUACGACCGCAAGGUUGAAACUCAAAGGAAUUGACGGGGACCCGCACAAGCGGUGGAGCAUGUGGUUUAAUUCGAAGCAACGCGAAGAACCUUACCAAAUCUUGACAUCCUUUGACAACUCUAGAGAUAGAGCUUUCCCCUUCGGGGGACAAAGUGACAGGUGGUGCAUGGUUGUCGUCAGCUCGUGUCGUGAGAUGUUGGGUUAAGUCCCGCAACGAGCGCAACCCUUAAGCUUAGUUGCCAUCAUUAAGUUGGGCACUCUAAGUUGACUGCCGGUGACAAACCGGAGGAAGGUGGGGAUGACGUCAAAUCAUCAUGCCCCUUAUGAUUUGGGCUACACACGUGCUACAAUGGACAAUACAAAGGGCAGCGAAACCGCGAGGUCAAGCAAAUCCCAUAAAGUUGUUCUCAGUUCGGAUUGUAGUCUGCAACUCGACUACAUGAAGCUGGAAUCGCUAGUAAUCGUAGAUCAGCAUGCUACGGUGAAUACGUUCCCGGGUCU
RNAcentral lists this ribosomal RNA (1372 nucleotides) under uncultured bacterium. Its description in RNAcentral is "bacterial SSU rRNA". It matches the Rfam family "Bacterial small subunit ribosomal RNA", at positions 28 to 1381 of the family's 1533-position model. The record is from RNAcentral.